UACAGAGGGUGCAAGCGUUGUUCGGAAUUAUUGGGCGUAAAGCGCGUGUAGGCGGCUUUGCAAGUCGGGUGUGAAAGCCCUCGGCUCAACCGAGGAAGUGCGCCCGAAACUGCAGAGCUUGAGUACCGGAGAGGAUGGCGGAAUUCCCCAAGUAGAGGUGAAAUUCGUAGAUAUGGGGAGGAACACCGGUGGCGAAGGCGGCAUCCUGGACCGAGAUUGACGCUGAGGCGCGAAAGCCAGGGGAGCAAACGGG
Molecule: ribosomal RNA, 253 nt
Filed under: uncultured bacterium
Lineage: Bacteria
Description: partial 16S ribosomal RNA
Rfam family: Bacterial small subunit ribosomal RNA
Source: RNAcentral